This 207-nucleotide ribosomal RNA is filed under the name uncultured bacterium. RNAcentral describes it as "partial 16S ribosomal RNA". It matches the Rfam family "Bacterial small subunit ribosomal RNA", at positions 568 to 774 of the family's 1533-position model. The record is from RNAcentral.
CACGUAGGCGGUCGGCUAUGUCGGAUGUGAAAGCCUCGGGCUUAACCCGAGAAGGGCAUCCGAAACUGGCCGGCUUGAGUACGGAAGAGGGUCUCGGAAUUCCCGGUGUAGCGGUGAAAUGCGCAGAUAUCAGGAGGAACACCGGUGGCGAAGGCGGAUCUCUGGGCCUUACCUGACGCUGAGGCGCGAAAGCUAGAGGAGCGAACA